Molecule: long non-coding RNA, 611 nt
Filed under: Homo sapiens (human)
Lineage: Eukaryota; Metazoa; Chordata; Mammalia; Primates; Hominidae
Description: HSALNT0382341
Source: RNAcentral
GCCUGACCUCAGGAGAAGGAUUGAGGAACCUAGUCCUCCCGCAGGCAGGAGGGGUAGAGCACCUUGGAACCAAACUCAGGAGUUUCUGGCUGGCUCCAAACAGAAGAGCCACAGUAGAGACGGGGUUUCACCAUGUUCGCCAGGAUGGACUCGAUUUCCUGACCUCGUGAUCCACCCACCUCGGCCUCCCAAAGUGAUGGGAUUGCAGGCGUGAGCCACCGUGCCCAGCCAAGGCCCAUAAAAGCCCUGGACUCAGCCAGACUUGAGAAGAUGAUGGGACAACCAGCUGCAGAGAGGAGCUACCCUCUCUGCUGAGAGCUGAAGAGACAACAUGAUGACCAGCUGCAGAGAGGAGCUACCGUCUCUCCUGAGAGCUGAACACUCAUUGGGACACCCUGGCUACAGAAAGGAGCUACCUAUUUCAGGUCUCCUCUAAGCUGUUCUGUCACUCAAUAAAGCUUCUCUUCAUCUUGCUCACCCUUCGCUUGUCUGCAUACCUCAUUCUUCCUGGAUGCAGGACAAGAACUUGGGACCUGCCAAAUGACAGGGCUAAAAGAGCUACAACACAAACAGGGCUGAAACAUGCCCCUUGCUCACCAUGUUGUACAUGA